Molecule: ribosomal RNA, 404 nt
Filed under: Pseudomonas nunensis
Lineage: Bacteria; Pseudomonadati; Pseudomonadota; Gammaproteobacteria; Pseudomonadales; Pseudomonadaceae
Also listed under: 1 other name
Description: bacterial SSU rRNA
Rfam family: Bacterial small subunit ribosomal RNA
Source: RNAcentral
GGUGGGCACUCUAAGGAGACUGCCGGUGACAAACCGGAGGAAGGUGGGGAUGACGUCAAGUCAUCAUGGCCCUUACGGCCUGGGCUACACACGUGCUACAAUGGUCGGUACAGAGGGUUGCCAAGCCGCGAGGUGGAGCUAAUCCCAGAAAACCGAUCGUAGUCCGGAUCGCAGUCUGCAACUCGACUGCGUGAAGUCGGAAUCGCUAGUAAUCGCGAAUCAGAAUGUCGCGGUGAAUACGUUCCCGGGCCUUGUACACACCGCCCGUCACACCAUGGGAGUGGGUUGCACCAGAAGUAGCUAGUCUAACCUUCGGGAGGACGGUUACCACGGUGUGAUUCAUGACUGGGGUGAAGUCGUAACAAGGUAGCCGUAGGGGAACCUGCGGCUGGAUCACCUCCUUA